GUUACCUUACUCUUCUAUAUCUCUUUGUGUUUAUUAAGUUAUGUAGCUAAAUAUGAAUGUGACCAAAACAUUUCUUAAUCUUUCUGCCUGGCCUUUUUUCAUUUAAAUUCUUCCUUAGUUAGCAAUCUUGUCUGUAUUUCUGACUUGGAAGCCAUCUACAAGUCAGACCUCACAACACAGCUGUAGAUGAAGAAAAGAAAAUCUAAAAAUCUGUGCUGGAAAGGAGGGCACGAAGAAGAUCGGUGGCCAACUGCACUGUUGCUAUCAAACCCAAAUCAAUUAAAAGGCUCUGCUGUACCAAUGCCUUUUCUGAUCUUCAUUUGAAGUGACAAGCAUCAAUGUUACUUCAGGACACUGUAGUUCAGAUUUUGUGGAUCUUUGAAAAUCUGAGUCUCAACUCAAGCAACAAUGUUUGACGUAUGUUCAUCCCUAAUGAAAUCAAAACUGAGUUGACCUGAUAUGGACUGACUCUAAAUGAAUCAGAAGCAUAAAAGUUUGGAGUAAGACCUAAUUAUUUUCAAAAAAUAUUUCCCACUUGUAAUCUUAUUUGUAAUCCUAGCUGUAUUAAUCUUUAUGGUGAUGAAAUGUAAUGAAACAGCAAAUGUUUUUUAUGUGGACUUCUGUGCUAAUUAAUGUGAUAAUGGUGGUUCUCACAAUAUAUAGAUAGUUCAUCAAACUACUAAAACCAGCACUUCACAUUAACUGUAAAUUGUUUAAAAUACUCCUUGGCUUUCAAAGACCCUGGAUACAUUUUGUCGUCAAUUCCAAAAAAUCUGUUUAUGAACAUUCACAAGUAUCUAAUCUAUUUUAAAUGUGUGACUGUCACUAAAUAGGACAUACUGAUGUGUUUUCAUUCUCCAACAACUUAAUUUAAACAUCUAAUCCCUGAACACAGACAGUGUAAGCAGGAAGGGAAGCGUUAUUUGUGUCAUGGGAGAAGAUAGAUAAUAAAUCCAUGCUUUCUGACUGAAACCAAAACAAACCAACAACCAAAAAAAAAAAAACCAACAACAACAACAAACUUUCAGAUAGCAGAUAUUCAAAUGCCUAUUGUACUUUUUGAUCUUUUGUGAUUAGCUUUUGCAUUGUGUCCCGUGAACUGAAUAUUUUCUUUUUACACUUAUGGGAAAGUAAUAAAAUUGCUACAUAC
Cygnus olor (mute swan) is the source of this 1150-nucleotide long non-coding RNA. RefSeq lists it as uncharacterized. The transcript is spliced from 3 exons. The record is from RefSeq and is a predicted model, not a curated record. NCBI's taxonomy places the organism in Eukaryota, Metazoa, Chordata, Aves, Anseriformes, Anatidae.